Eptesicus fuscus (big brown bat) is the source of this 332-nucleotide long non-coding RNA. RefSeq lists it as uncharacterized. NCBI's taxonomy places the organism in Eukaryota, Metazoa, Chordata, Mammalia, Chiroptera, Vespertilionidae. The transcript has 3 exons. The record is from RefSeq and is a predicted model, not a curated record.
AAGAAGCACUAUCUUUCAGGACAUCUUUGCAGACCUUAUAAAGAAACCUGAGCACAGCGCUGGAACUUGGAAACAUUCGAGUGGCACCUGGAAUGUCACCUGGAACUGCAAGACCAGGCUCCCGUGGUGGCCGCACAGGGACAGGAGUUCUGUCUUCUCAGAUUAAGUUGCAGAUCGUCCAGUAACACAACAAGGAGGAGAAGGCUGGUGCGGACAGCGCAGGGAAGCAGCCAGUGGCGGCAGGCAGAGCUAACCACGGAGAUUUCAGAGAAGGUAGCGGCUGAAGAACGCCUCUGCCAGAGGGGGGAUGUCUGGUCAUUGCUAAUCUCUAA